RNAcentral lists this ribosomal RNA (256 nucleotides) under uncultured bacterium. RNAcentral's name for it is "partial 16S ribosomal RNA". It matches the Rfam family "Bacterial small subunit ribosomal RNA", at positions 57 to 305 of the family's 1533-position model. The record is from RNAcentral.
GCAAGUAGAACGCUGAAGGAGGAGCUUGUUUCUCUGGAUGAGUUGCGAACGGGUGAGUAACGCGUAGGUAACCUGCCUGGCAGCGGGGGAUAACCUUUGGAAACGAUAGCUAAUACCGCAUAAUAGUAGAUGUUGCAUGACAUUUGCUUAAAAGGUGCAAUUGCAUCACUACCAGAUGGGCCUGCGUUGUAUUAGCUAGUUGGUGAGGUAACGGCUCACCAAGGCGACGAUACAUAGCCGACCUGAGAGGGUGAUC